Molecule: transfer RNA, 65 nt
Filed under: Neotoma lepida (desert woodrat)
Lineage: Eukaryota; Metazoa; Chordata; Mammalia; Rodentia; Cricetidae
Rfam family: tRNA
About the family: Transfer RNA (tRNA) molecules are approximately 80 nucleotides in length. Their secondary structure includes four short double-helical elements and three loops (D, anti-codon, and T loops).
Source: Rfam by way of RNAcentral
GGAGAAAUGGCUCAGUGGUUAAGAGCACUGACUGGAGGACCUGGGUUCAAUUCCCAGCAUCUACA